CCCGCGUCUCAUUAGCUAGUUGGUAGGGUAAUGGCCUACCAAGGCAACGAUGAGUAGCUGGUCUGAGAGGAUGAUCAGCCACACUGGAACUGAAACACGGUCCAGACUCCUACGGGAGGCAGCAGUGGGGAAUAUUGCGCAAUGGGCGAAAGCCUGACGCAGCAACGCCGUGUGAGGGAUGAAGGCUUUCGGGUCGUAAACCUCUGUCGGAAGGGAAGAACGGGCAUUGGUCUAAUAGGCCUUUGUUUUGACGGUACCUUUAGAGGAAGCACCGGCUAACUCCGUGCCAGCAGCCGCGGUAAUACGGAGGGUGCAAGCGUUAUUCGGAAUUACUGGGCGUAAAGCGCACGUAGGCGGCCUUGUAAGUCAGGGGUGAAAUCCCACGGCUCAACCGUGGAACUGCCUUUGAAACUGCAGGGCUUGAAUCCUGGAGAGGGUGGCGGAAUUCCUGGUGUAGGAGUGAAAUUCGUAGAUAUCAGGAGGAACACCGGUGGCGAAGGCGGCCACCUGGACAGGUAUUGACGCUGAGGUGCGAAAGUGUGGGGAGCAAACAGGAUUAGAUACCCUGGUAGUCCACACCGUAAACGAUGGAUACUAGGUGUCGGGGACUUGAUCUUCGGUGCCGUAGCUAACGCGUUAAGUAUCCCGCCUGGGGAGUACGGUCGCAAGGCUGAACUCAAGAAAUUGACGGGGGCCCGCACAAGCGGUGGAGUAUGUGGUUUAAUUCGAUGCAACGCGGAGACCUUACCUAGGCUUGACAUCCUGGGAAUCCUGCAGAGAUGCGGGAGUUCCCUUCGGGGUAUC
Molecule: ribosomal RNA, 804 nt
Filed under: uncultured Desulfomicrobium sp.
Lineage: Bacteria; Pseudomonadati; Thermodesulfobacteriota; Desulfovibrionia; Desulfovibrionales; Desulfomicrobiaceae
Description: bacterial SSU rRNA
Rfam family: Bacterial small subunit ribosomal RNA
Source: RNAcentral